RNAcentral lists this unclassified non-coding RNA (339 nucleotides) under fungal sp. Its description in RNAcentral is "partial internal transcribed spacer region". The record is from RNAcentral. Lineage: Eukaryota; Fungi.
AAGUCGUAACAAGGUUCCGUUAGGUGAACCUGCGGAAGGAUCAUUAACACGUAUCCAACGUUAAAACAACCCCCGGUGAACUUUCAGCUUGCUCCUGUAGCCCGAAAAACAGCAAUCCCUGGUAAAUCAUUGUUGACCAGCUUUUGAGUCAGGAUUGCAUCAAGUGCCCUGGCAUCCCCAAGUAAUCAGUGUCUGAAAGUGUCAUUGAUUAUGUAAGGAUGGCGCAGUCACGAUCGCCGUAGGCCCACACGGCCGGCGACCGACAACACAGUCCGAAUUGGCCGCGCGUGAAAUUCGCACGGCACCAAACAACUGUUAACAAUGGAUAUCUUGGUUCUC